CCCCUAGAUGUUCUGGACCGCACGCGCGCUACACUGAACAGUUCAACAAGUCUUAACCUCGGCCGAUAGGUCUGGGUAAUCUUUGAACGCUGUUCGUGAUUGGGAUAGACCUUUGCAAUUAUGGGUCUUCAACGAGGAAUUCCUAGUAAACGCAAGUCAUCAGCUUGCAUUGAUUACGUCCCUGCCCUUUGUACACACCGCCCGUCGCACCUACCGAUUGAAUGGUCCGGUGAAAUCUCGGGACGGCGGCUUGGUCGCUUGCGUCCGACUGCUGAAACUUGAUUAAACCAUAUCAUUUAGAGGAAGGUGAAGUCGUAACA
RNAcentral lists this ribosomal RNA (320 nucleotides) under uncultured eukaryote. Its description in RNAcentral is "partial 18S ribosomal RNA". It matches the Rfam family "Eukaryotic small subunit ribosomal RNA", at positions 1470 to 1796 of the family's 1831-position model. The record is from RNAcentral.